AGCAGCCGCGGUAAUUCCAGCUCCAACAGCGUAUAUUAAAGUUGUUGCAGUUAAAAGCUCGUAGUUGAAUUUCGGGGUUAGUAGGCUGGUCAUGCCUCUGGUAUGUACUGGUCUCACUGAUUCCUCCUUCCUGAUAAGCCGUAAUGCCAUUAAUUUGGUGUUGCGGGGAAUUUGGA
This 176-nucleotide unclassified non-coding RNA is filed under the name uncultured Paraglomus. RNAcentral describes it as "sequence contains 18S rRNA gene". It matches the Rfam family "Eukaryotic small subunit ribosomal RNA", at positions 569 to 747 of the family's 1831-position model. The record is from RNAcentral. Lineage: Eukaryota; Fungi; Glomeromycota; Glomeromycetes; Paraglomerales; Paraglomeraceae.